This 746-nucleotide long non-coding RNA is filed under the name Manihot esculenta (cassava). Its description in RNAcentral is "long non-coding RNA (MESC_LNC004190)". Lineage: Eukaryota; Viridiplantae; Streptophyta; Magnoliopsida; Malpighiales; Euphorbiaceae. The record is from RNAcentral.
ACAUAACAAAUUAACAAACCAAGUAGCUAGGCUAACCAUUAACAAAUGCACUAAUUGAAUCUACAUGACAUUCAAAUUUCACAUUAAGACAGCAAAGAGUAAAAAAAAAAAAAAAAUUUCUAUCAUGAUGGAAUAUGGUAGAGACUUACAUCUCCACUCCUUUCCUUCAUUUUCUUAAUUAUAAUUAGGAAUAUCUUCGAAUCCGAUUCAAGUACGUACACAAAUAAAAAAACUUAAUUACACGUAUAAAACAUUACCAAAUUUCAACGAAUCUAUCAUGGCGCAUCAACAUGUUUAUUUCCGGUGGAACACAUGGUUGAACCAAGAGUACUAUAAUUUAUAUAUCGGCUAGGAGCUGAAGUUCUAUGAAACCCUUUCGGCAAACAAUUCUCUACAUCUUUACCACGAAACUCUCCAUUUCCGUGACUUGUUUUUGGCUUGAAGGUUGCGAAAUCCUUCGGCGAUUUCAAUGCCAAUGGCCUUGCAGCUGCCACCAGUGGAUGUAUAGAAUUUGUGCCGGCCAUCAUCACUGAGGGAGACAGAAAGAGGAGAGAAUAGAAGAAAAAUAUGAGGAAAACAAAAGGAGAAAUAGACAUAUCAGUUGUUGUUGUAUGUUAAAUUGUUUAGGAAUUGUGAAGUGUUAAUAAAUUGGGGUAGAGUUGAAGAGGGAAGAAUGGAGAGGUAGGGCUUUAAAUAGGGAAACUCGUGAAAGAAAUGAAGAAUGUAGAUGUGAUUCCAACUCAUAG